Molecule: long non-coding RNA, 876 nt
Organism: Neopsephotus bourkii (Bourke's parrot)
Lineage: Eukaryota; Metazoa; Chordata; Aves; Psittaciformes; Psittacidae
Exons: 5
Source: RefSeq, a predicted model, not a curated record
CUGGAAUUAAUGAGCAGCACAUUUGAAGCCUGGUUUUCUCUCACCUUGGAUCUUGUGACUGAGUUAUCCUGUGUCUAAGAAGUUAUCAGAGCUUCAUUUGAGACAGUCCUGAACUGAAAUCAUGAAAUCUGAAUUCCUUGAUAUACAAAAAAGUUUUAGCUGUGUAUGAACCUGAAUACUGAGAUACAGGGAGCUACCUUCAGUUUCAACUGAGGAAAGAAAUUUGGACAUUCUGGACAGGGGCCACAGGAGCUGGAAUCAGAAUAGAAUCUCAACAGAGGUUAAGUGCAAGGAUCGCACUGAGAGCUAGAAACUGUGAGCUGUAUUCCCAUUGCCUGCUAUGGAACAUGGGAGCAAUGACAGCAUGUCAGGUCAAGAGACUGGUGAGCAAUUCUGACCGCCUGUUAUGCCAAGUUGCUAGACCUUGGCUCCCUUUGCAGUCAGUGGAAAAAAAGUCAUCUUGGUACGCAAGUUAGGCAAGGUAGAGAAAGUCUUACCAGCCUGAUGCAUUGUGACUGCUGCUCACAAAAGGUACCCACACCUCAACAGUGCCUGAGAGAAUUCUGAUUAUGACAUAGGCUGAUUUAUGCUUCUGAACACACCUGGCUAGCCUCAACCGUGAAUUCUGUGUCUACAGAGAAGCGGCAUAAUUGGAGUGUAAGAGGACAUCUCAGUUUUAAAUAAAAAGCCUCUCCAUAUAAAUUCAGACACACUCCUGCUGCUGCAGAAGGACAUUAAUAUGGAAGUCAGACAAGCACGCAUGGACUUAUGAAACUGCAUUUACUAUCCAACCAAGGCAAGGAGCCCUGCUGAAUUCAGGAAGAAGUCCUGGAGAGGUGCUGCCUUCUUCCAAGAUGUCAGGGUAGUAUUUAAUUU